GCAAGUCGAACGAGAACGGCUCUAGCUUGCUAGAGUGUCAGCUAAGUGGCGCACGGGUGAGUAAUGUAUAGGUAACCUGCCCCGAAGAGCGGGAUAACGUCUGGAAACGGACGCUAAUACUGCAUAUACCUUUAAAACUCAAGUUUAAAAGGGAAAUGAAUUUCGCUUCGGGAUGGGCCUUUAUUGCAUCAGCUAGUUGGUAAGGUAACGGCUUACCAAGGCUAUGACGCGUAGCUGAUCUGAGAGGUUGAAC
This 253-nucleotide ribosomal RNA is filed under the name uncultured bacterium. RNAcentral's name for it is "partial 16S ribosomal RNA". It matches the Rfam family "Bacterial small subunit ribosomal RNA", at positions 57 to 305 of the family's 1533-position model. The record is from RNAcentral.